Molecule: ribosomal RNA, 1918 nt
Filed under: human gut metagenome
Description: bacterial LSU rRNA
Rfam family: Bacterial large subunit ribosomal RNA
Source: RNAcentral
UUAAGCUACUAAGAGCAUAGGGAGAAUGCCUAGGUACCAAAAGCCGAAGAAAGACGUGAUAAGCUGCGAAAAGCCACGGGGAGAAGCAAAUAUUCAAUAAUCCGUGGAUGUCUGAAUGAGGAAACUCUAACCAAGAAAAAAGUUGGUUAAUCCAUACAUGAGUAAAGUAGUGUAUAGGAGGGGAACGUGGGGAACUGAAACAUCUAAGUACCCACAGGAAAAGAAAGAAAACUCGAUUCCUAAAGUAGUGGCGAGCGAAAUAGGAAGAGCCCAAACCAGAAGAAGAAAUUCAUCUGGGGUUCGGACUACAUAAUUGAUUCAAUGAGUUUAGUAAAAUUGUUUGGGAAAGCAAACCAAAGACGGUGAAAGUCCAGUAUACGAAAAACAAGUUGACAAGGUAGAAUCCAGAGUAGUGCGAGACACGUGAAAUCUCGUAUGAAAGAGCGGGGACCACCCCGUAAGGCUAAAUACUAAUUGGUAACCGAUAGUGAAGAAGUACCGUGAGGGAAAGUUGAAAAGAACCCCGGGAGGGGAGUGAAAUAGAACCUGAAACCCUAUGUUUACAAGCAGACAAAGCACGUUAAGGUGCGAUGUCGUACUUUUUGUAGAACGGUCCGGCGAGUUAUUUUAUAUGGCAAGGUUAAGUACUAAAGGUACGGAGCCGAAGAGAAAUCGAGUCUGAAGAGGGCGAAUAAGUCAUAUGAAAUAGACCCGAAACCGAGUGACCUAUCCAUGUCCAGGCUGAAGCUUGAGUAAAAUCAAGUGGAGGGCCGAACUCAUAGACGUUAAAAAGUCUCGGGAUGAGGUGUGGAUAGCGGAGAAAUUCCAAUCGAACUCGGAGAUAGCUGGUUCUCCUCGAAAUAGUUUUAGGACUAGCCUUGUUUCGUAGCAUUUGGGGGUAGAGCACUGAAUGAGGUAGGGGCCAACACGGUUACUGAACUCUAUCAAACUACGAAUACCAAAUGUGUAAGAACAAGAGUCAGACUGCGGGAGCUAAGUUCCGUGGUCAAAAGGGAAAGAGCCCAGAUCGUCAAUUAAGGUCCCAAAGAUAUAGUUAAGUGGAAAACGAUGUGAUUUUGCGUAAACAACCAGGAUGUUGGCUUAGAAGCAGCCAUUCAUUCAAAGAGUGCGUAAUAGCUCACUGGUCGAGUGAAGUUGCGCGGAAAAUUACCGGGGCUAAACUAUACACCGAAAUUGCGGAUUUGCAUAGAAAUAUGUAAGUGGUAGAGGAGCAUUCUAUAGUAGGACGAAGCAUAAUCGAAAGGAUAUGUGGACGAGAUAGAAGAGAGAAUGCCGGAAUAAGUAGCGAAAGCAUGGUGAGAAUCCAUGCCAUCGAAAGUCUAAGGUUUCCUGGGGAAGGUUCGUCCGCCCAGGGUAAGUCGGGACCUAAGGAGAGGCCGAAAAGCGUAUCCGAUGGACAGCAGGUAGAAAUUCCUGCACUACGUAAUACUUAAAAGACAUAAAUGACACAGGAGUGGAAGAUAAGCGAGGAAGAGGAAAGACUCGUAUCGAAAGAUAUAGUGAAAAUUAAAGUAACGAAUUAUCAAGAAGCUAAUGGCGAGAAAAGUUUAUGGAUAUUGUAUUAAGUACCCGUACCGCAAACCGACACAGGUAGAUGAGGAGAAGAUCCUAAGAUGAGCGAGAGAAGCAUUGUUAAGGAACUCGGCAAACUGACCCCGUAACUUCGGAAUAAGGGGUGCUGGAGUAGAAUCCAGUCGCAGAGAAUAGUCCCAAGCAACUGUUUAACAAAAACACAGGUUUCUGCUAAAUCGAAAGAUGAAGUAUAGGAGCUGACACCUGCCCAGUGCUGGAAGGUUAAGGGAAAGAGUUAGACGCAAGUCGAAGCUUAGAACUAAAGCCCCAGUGAACGGCGGCCGUAACUAUAACGGUCCUAAGGUAGCGAAAUUCCUUGUCAGGU